Molecule: long non-coding RNA, 242 nt
Filed under: Panax ginseng (ginseng)
Lineage: Eukaryota; Viridiplantae; Streptophyta; Magnoliopsida; Apiales; Araliaceae
Description: long non-coding RNA (PGIN_LNC008398)
Source: RNAcentral
CAACUCAACAGUCCGAUCCCACAUCAGCCACCGGAAGAGCUAUACUCGAUUUUAUCUCCUAUACCCUUCGCUGUCUGGGGGUAGAUAUACUGGGUCCAUUGCCUAAAGCUAAAGGUCAGGUUAGCUUUGUCAUAGUUGCUAUUGAUUACAUGACUAAGUGGGUAGAGGCGAAUCCACUUCGGUUAAUAACGGAGCAAGAAUGUUUGAAGUUCGUAAAAGAGUCCGUAGUGUUUCGCUUCGGG